AAACCUUACCUACCCUUGACAUGGUCGGAAUCCCGAAGAGAUUUGGGAGUGCUCGAAAGAGAACCGAUACACAGGUGCUGCAUGGCUGUCGUCAGCUCGUGUCGUGAGAUGUUGGGUUAAGUCCCGCAACGAGCGCAACCCUUGUCCUUAGUUGCUACGCAAGAGCACUCUAAGGAGACUGCCGGUGACAAACCGGAGGAAGGUGGGGAUGACGUCAAGUCCUCAUGGCCCUUAUGGGUAGGGCUUCACACGUCAUACAAUGGUCGGAACAGAGGGUCGCCAACCCGCGAGGGGGAGCUAAUCCCAGAAAACCGAUCGUAGUCCGGAUUGCACUCUGCAACUCGAGUGCAUGAAGCUGGAAUCGCUAGUAAUCGCGGAUC
Molecule: ribosomal RNA, 380 nt
Filed under: Burkholderia sp. CAR56
Lineage: Bacteria; Pseudomonadati; Pseudomonadota; Betaproteobacteria; Burkholderiales; Burkholderiaceae
Description: bacterial SSU rRNA
Rfam family: Bacterial small subunit ribosomal RNA
Source: RNAcentral